GGAAGUAAAGAGCUGAUCAUCCUUGGUUAAGGAGGCAGAGGGUGCUGGUGAGAAAAUCAGGACAACGGAGAUAGCCAUCUUUUAAAAUACUUUUGAUUGUGAGAAGUGAAAAAACAAACAAACAAAAGAAUAUCUUCAGGAACACCUUCUCCAGUGAUCAUUUACAACGUUCUCUUGCCUGGCACAGUAUGAAGCAUGACCUUCUGAAGUUUCAGAUUUGUGUUUCUUGGUUUGCUGAAAACUCUGCCUCGGGCCAGCCGCUUGACAGGCUCAGCACCCAUGGGCCACAGACGCAAUGGGAGACGGCUCUGGCAUCACCCGAGUCUGAGUUCAAGUCCUAGUUGUGCACUCACCACGUGUGGCUUUGUGAAGCUAGAGCCUCAACUUUUCAUAGGUAAACUGAGGCCACGGCUCACUGUGGAGAAGAUCAAACACAGAAUGUGUAGGAAGUGCCUUGCACAGUACCUGGCCUGUGGUAGGAGCCACAGCUUAGCUUUUUUUUUACCUUUCUCAUCCUAUCUCACCAGGAGGAUUGCUCUCAGGAUAUAAGAUGGCAACGCAUGGGAAAGUGUCCUGAAAAUGUGUUCUGCAGCUCUAGUCGUUUCUUUAGAUCUCAGCUUAGUAGCAAUUUCCUCUGGGAAGGGAACUUUUCCUUGACCCGCCACAUUGGAUAAGAAGCCCCUGCCUCUGGUCCCAUGGCACUUUGUGCCCUGCAUCUGCUCACUUGCCACACUGUAUUCAAAUUGCCAGGCAACCUCCCCCUUAUCCAGGAGGCCCAGAAGAGCCCGAGAGAGUGGGGACUAUGCGGGUUGUACUUAUUGUUGCUUCUCUACCAUCUUUCAUAUGUAGUUGCUGCCAAAUUCGGCACCGGUGCACUCUUCUUUUGCUAAAUGCACACAGUUACUGAUGGGAACACUGGCAGGAUUUUUCGAAUCUGCUUUCCGGUAUUGCUUGUGGCAUGCUUGAUGCUUUGGACCAUGGGUUUAUGGCAGCAUUCCCGAUUGGUCCUAGAAACAUCAGCUCCAAAGAUAAUUCUUUGGUCAAGUAAGUUGGGAAAGACUAUGCUCUAUAUGCCUCCCCAUCCCAGGAAAUUGACAAUGCAUGUUUCCAUGGUAAAGCCUUAUGAGACCUGCUAUAAAGAUACCUAGCUAACUUGAACACAGCAUUUUCCAAAUGAAUUCUCCCCAGGAAUACCUUUUAAUACACCAAAGACCACUCUUUGGAAAGCUCUGGCCUAUAGAGAACUUGAGCUCCAAGCAAAUUUUUCUGAUGGUUUCUGUCAAUUCUUUGUCCUGGUUCUCCUUCCCCCACUUAAACUAUGCAGCUGGAAUCAGGAGAGACAUAAUAUAUUGGGCUGGACCAAAAGGCAAUGCAGACAAUAGAACCUUUGAGAAAACUAGACCUAUGAAUGAGCUGACCAGUCCAGGAACUGACCAAAAGUAUUUUGACAAUGACCAGAAUGCCCUCAUCUGUGCCCCACGUCAGAGCUCUCACACUUCUGUGCACAUAUAUCACUACGACUGCUCUUCCUCCCUUUCUCUUCCAUCAUCAUCCCCACCACCAUGACCACCAUCACCGUGACUACCACCACCACUACACUUCAGUUUUAUGGUACAUGGUCUGUGCCAAGCUUUGCUCUAAGUACAGGUACUUCCCGUAUUAAUGUAUUUAAUCCUCACAACAAGCUCAUAAGAGAGGUGCUAGCAUCAUCUCUGUUUUCCAGAGGGAGAAACUCAAGUGCAGAGAGGUUAAGGAAGACUUGCAUUUUAUAGGAUGGGUAGACCAAUUUGCAAAUCUAUGCUAAGAAAUCUUAUUAAGAGACUGACACGCUGUGCAUUUCAGUGACUGUUCUGAAGUGAAGCAGUCCAUAAUCAGCCACGUCUGUCUGAUUCCAAGACAAGCUCUUCCUACGACAUCAGGCUGCCUCCUGGUGUUAACAAUACUUUAUCUUUGUGAGUUAUUUUAUGUUUCCUAAGCACUUCUAUAGCCUUCAUUGUUUUAAAAUCUCCUGACCAUGCUUCAGACAAAUGCGAUCACUUUAUAGAUUUUAAAAUUGAAUCACAGAGAGCUACUACUAGUAUAAUAAUAAUGAUGAUAUUAAUGAUAGCCACCUCUCACUUUUGACAAACUUAUUGUUCACGGCAAAAAUGGCUCACAAAGGGUAGACUUGGGGCUCAGAUGCAAGACUUCUGAUGCCAAGUCCAGAGUUUGCUCCACCCUUGAAAGGCGGGUCCCUCCAACAAGAUUAGCCCAGCUGUGGCAGGAGAGAGAAGUUUACAGCACCAGCUCGGUAUUCGGUUGGUGUGGUUUUUAAAGUAACUCAACAUCUGUCAUUAAUUAGAGUUCCUGUUGCCAUGGUGAUGGUUUAUUAUUGCUCGGCUGAUAAGAUGGCAAUUCAAGAAUACUAUCUUUCUCCUUUUCCCUCUCUCUACAGCAAAGAUUUUUCACUUUCUUUCCCCUCUCACCUAUGAGACAUCUGAGCUUUUGCCACAAAGAAUGAUGCGGUGUUCUCAAACAGGGACCCCUGUUGGUUCUCUGGAAAUAAUCUUCCGAAUUUUUUUUCCCUUUCGCUCAAUGCAAAGGUUCUAUCAACCCAACUUUGAUUCACAUUUCAUUUCUUGUACUUAUUAGCUCUCUGAACAAGUUAAUUAUCUUCCUCGAGCCUUACUUUUUCAUCUGGAAUAAGUGAUAAAGGAGGCCUAACUGGCAAGGUUAUUGUGAGAAUUUGAUAUAACGAAUAUGAAGAUAUCAACACAGGGCUUGGAAGGUAAUGGAUACUCAAGAAAUGAUAGCAGAUGUGAUAAUUAAAAUAACAGCGAUAAUUAUUUACAAAAAGAUGAGAUGAAACUGGGGUUUAGGGUUGGGGGCUGAGGUCACUGUGCCUUCACUCAUUCAUCAAUCACUCUAACUUGUUCAUCCACUGCAACUGUCCUUUUUCUUUACAGCUCUUAACCCA
Molecule: long non-coding RNA, 2956 nt
Organism: Canis lupus familiaris (dog)
Lineage: Eukaryota; Metazoa; Chordata; Mammalia; Carnivora; Canidae
Exons: 3
Source: RefSeq, a predicted model, not a curated record